Molecule: ribosomal RNA, 468 nt
Filed under: uncultured bacterium
Lineage: Bacteria
Description: partial 16S ribosomal RNA
Rfam family: Bacterial small subunit ribosomal RNA
Source: RNAcentral
GACGAACGCUGGCGGCGUGCUUAACACAUGCAAGUCGAACGGAAAGGCCCUGCCUUUGUGGGGUGCUCGAGUGGCGAACGGGUGAGUAACACGUGAGUAACCUGCCCUUGACUUUGGGAUAACUUCAGGAAACUGGGGCUAAUACCGGAUAGGAGCUCCUGCUGCAUGGUGGGGGUUGGAAAGUUUCGGCGGUUGGGGAUGGACUCGCGGCUUAUCAGCUUGUUGGUGGGGUAGUGGCUUACCAAGGCUUUGACGGGUAGCCGGCCUGAGAGGGUGACCGGCCACAUUGGGACUGAGAUACGGCCCAGACUCCUACGGGAGGCAGCAGUGGGGAAUAUUGCACAAUGGGCGGAAGCCUGAUGCAGCAACGCCGCGUGCGGGAUGGCGGCCUUCGGGUUGUAAACCGCUUUCGCCUGUGACGAAGCGUGAGUGACGGUAAUGGGUAAAGAAGCACCGGCUAACUAUGUG